CCUACGGGAGGCAGCAGUAGGGAAUCUUCGGCAAUGGACGAAAGUCUGACCGAGCAACGCCGCGUGAGUGAAGAAGGUUUUCGGAUCGUAAAACUCUGUUGUUAGAGAAGAAUAGGGGAAAGAGUAACUGUUUUCCUCGUGACGGUAUCUAACC
This 154-nucleotide ribosomal RNA is filed under the name uncultured Melissococcus sp. RNAcentral describes it as "partial 16S ribosomal RNA". It matches the Rfam family "Bacterial small subunit ribosomal RNA", at positions 338 to 484 of the family's 1533-position model. Lineage: Bacteria; Bacillati; Bacillota; Bacilli; Lactobacillales; Enterococcaceae. The record is from RNAcentral.